This is an RNA transcript of Rhododendron vialii, 3249 nucleotides long. RefSeq lists it as uncharacterized. The transcript is spliced from 4 exons. Lineage: Eukaryota; Viridiplantae; Streptophyta; Magnoliopsida; Ericales; Ericaceae. The record is from RefSeq and is a predicted model, not a curated record.
GACACAGAGAAAGAGAGGAGGAGGACCAAUGCCGACCACCACCGACCCACCCAUCGGAGCGACGACCACCACCACUAACAGUAGCGCGCACCACCGCCUCCAGCGAUCACCGGCGCACCCCUUCCCUUUCGCCCAGUUUUUUGCCCCCACACAGCACAGACGAACAGAGGCAGCGAAAGACGAACAGGUUUGGAGACCGAAAAAGGGAGAGGGUUUCGUUGCGGAGGCGAUCGAGAUGGAGGUUCCAACGCCGCCGAUUUAGGAGGUCCUGAAUCGGCCCACAGCCGCCUUGCCCCAGUCCGAGUUCUUGACCCGACAAGAGGUCCUAAAGCGCGCGCAAGCAACUGGCCAAGGUGUACGGAGACCAUUACCGGUCCAUGAUGGAGAAUGUCAAGAUGAAGUUCAGGGAGUACUGCUGGGAGUACGGCUUCCAGGAGAAGUCUCUAUUUUACAUGCUCAUAUCGGCUCGACGGUGAAGAACAGAGGUUUUCCUUCUUUUCGUUUCUGCGUGCUUCUUUUCAUCGAUUAUUAUUUCCUUUUCCCUUGUAAGUUUGGUUCUGGAGUUGGGGUUUUUUUUUUCAAAAAUAUUUUGAUUGUCAUGGAGAGAAAAUAAAGGAAAUUGGGCCUAGAUUACUGAGGAAUGGUUUUAAUUUCUUCAAAAUUUUGAAUCUCUAAUUGGGUUUAAUUUAGGCUCCUAAAUUGGCAUAUUUUCCUUCUUUUCUUGAUGUUUUUGGUUCAAGGAUGUUUUAUUUUUUAUUAGGACCGGUAAAAGAAUACAAAUAAAUAACGAAUUAUAUAAAUCAACUUAAGCCCACAAAUACUAAACCUAACUGAUAGCCCAUUAGGGGACCAAACAACUGAACAAAUAACCGCCGAGGAAAAAAAACCCUUAUAAAUGACCCCAUUCAGGUGGUAAUUUUUUAAGUCUUUGCUCUUGGCAAGGAUUGACUCCUAUGGGAGGACUAUAAGGGUGGCUCGCUUAGCUUCCAGUUGGUUUGUUCAGGGGUGUUUUUAAUAAACCUUUGAUGAGUGAUUCGUUUACUGAACCACAUACACGUAGUUUUUGUAUGGUUGUUGGGAUAAGUAUAAAUUAGAUCCCAUUUUAUGAAGGUUACGGUUUUGUGUUCAUGAGUGUGACAUGCAUAACAAGUUUAGAUUUUUCCCUUAUGAGUUGGCUUUAUUUACAAGAUUCCAAAUUAGUUUACACUUUUUUAAAAAAAAUUUGGAAGCGAUAAGAAAGACUGCAGGUUGAAUUAAAUUUUAUGGAGGUUAUGGAUUCGUGUUCAUGAGUGUGAGGUGCAUAAACUGACAGAUCAAAUUAGUUACAAUUUCAGGACAUUGGUUUUGGUAGUUGUUGUGAUGUUAUUAGGAUAUUGGGUAGCUGUGAAAUCUGGAGAUAGUUUAAAUGUAUUUUGUUUUCUGUUUUCAAGGUUCACUUUUAUGUUGUUUCGGCAAUUGGAACUUUGAAGGAGCAACCAAUACAGUGUAGGACUAGGAUGUUGAAUCAAUACUGUAAGAAUUUGCAUGUCAUCAACGAUAGUUUGGAGGAUGGGUGAGGUGAAUUUUAUGAUGAAAUAACACCGCUUAUGGAUCCUAUUAUGGAUUGCCUAGGCUGAGGAGGGAAAGAUUUUAACUUUGUUGCGCUUAUGGAUUGGGAGGGAAAGAUUUAUCCUGUAAAGGAAGUUAGGCCUCCACAAAUCCCUGAGGAUCCUAAUCCUGUUAUUAAGAGUGAAAAAUUCCAAGCGCCAACUCAUAUUAUUUCUACAAUUUUCGAUGUCAAAGGUGAAGAGUCAUGAUACGCUGGUAUCCCUAUGCCUUCCAUUGUUGAACAGGAGUAUGGGGUGGGUGAUGUUAUUUUCCUGUUGUGGUUCAAACGCAGUCUCCCCCAUUACUGCACAGAGUUUAUUGAGGUCUGAUUUUUCUCCUAAUAACAUGUGCUAUAAAAAAAUUCCUUCCAAUUGCUUUUUUACUUUUUGAAUUAGGUCGUGGGCUUGUAAAAGAGAUUUUGUAGACUACUAUUUCUCAGUCUCACAUGUGACCUUGCCAGAUUUGCAUAAUGUUAUGUGCCAACCAUGGUCCCUGUGUGUUUGGUGCUCAUAACACCAUAGUAACUACAAGGACAGGAAAAGAUUUUCUGUGUAGAGGGCCGACCUAAGAGUUUUUAGUACCCAAAGCCUAAUAAAAAAAACUAUGCCCUUUAGAGUUAAUACCUGACCAUUUUUACUACAACAAUCACAAUACGAGAAGACCUAACCAAUAUAAAGUUAUAGUAAUUAUUACAUACGAAUACAAAAUACAAAGUUUCCAAAUAGGCAAAUACAUAUUAUCUCAAGAACGCAUGAGUAUCACUAAAAUUGUUAAAAAGAGUCCUACUCAAACCCAAGUAGUAAAAAUAUUGGAGUGCCCUUAAAAUUUGGGAUUUUUUUGGAUGCCUAAGGCGCAGACCUUUUGGACCUUGUGCCAGGCCCGGCUCUGUGUCCAGCCUUGUUGUAGGUAUGUAAUGAAGAUAUGUUAGCCAAAAAAGUUUUUCCUGGGGGCUGUUUUCAAAACAGGCACAGCUGAAAUGCCUUUUCGAAACAAGUUUGCUAGCAAUUGGUCCCCAAUUUGGUGGGGCUAUUGAUGAUGAUGCCCGAUCCUUUAACGAAGCUUAUGACAAGGUUAGUUCUUAUGAGAAUUUUACCACGCACAAGAGAAGAAUGCACACGCCGUUUGAUUUGCUAAUGGUUUCUGAAUCUAUCAGCUUUAACAAAACCCUACAACAUAAAAAAUUGUCAAAGUUUGUGCUACCUAGCUAGCAUCACACCAGGUAGAGACAUUUUUUUGGUUAGAAUAGCUGGAAGCCUGGAACUAAUGAAACCGGCAAAUUUUAACCGUAAUAUUCCAGAAAGUGAUAUAGUAUGUUUGUUUAGAUCAUCAAGAAAUCAGCAGCCUGUGAGUUCUCCGUCACUUGGGUAAUCAAUCCCAUAUAGUUGCCAAAAAGGCAAAAACUCAACCUUCAGGUCUGUGGUUCUUCAACACCAGAGAUAUUUUCCCAUAGCUUGAUAAUUAUCAUUUAUCUUCACUCAUAUCAAAUUGAUGUAACUUAGAUCUCAAAAUAUGCAUUGUGAACAUGUCAUAAGUGCAACAUUAUUGUAGGGUACUUUGUGAUUGAUGGAUUUGCUUUGAUUUUGUCUACAUUAGAUUUAUUUUUAUUCGUCAAAGUAGCCUUUUACAGAGGCAUUGUUGCUUGAUUGAUAUAUUCAUUGUUCU